Molecule: non-coding RNA, 73 nt
Organism: Trichonephila clavipes
Lineage: Eukaryota; Metazoa; Arthropoda; Arachnida; Araneae; Nephilidae
Source: the annotation of a GenBank genome assembly
GUCCCAGCAGCGCAAUGAAUUGCGCUUUGGACUUCUAAUCCACAAGUCGUGGGUUCGAAUCCCAUCUGGAAUG